Oxyura jamaicensis (ruddy duck) is the source of this 1871-nucleotide long non-coding RNA. RefSeq lists it as uncharacterized. NCBI's taxonomy places the organism in Eukaryota, Metazoa, Chordata, Aves, Anseriformes, Anatidae. The record is from RefSeq and is a predicted model, not a curated record. The transcript is spliced from 4 exons.
AGGAACUGGCAGUAAAAGCUGUAACAUGCUUAUAAGUAGAUCAUUUUAGAGGUAAAAAAGGUAAAAAAAAGAUUUUUUUAAAAAAAAAAAAGUAAAGGAAUCUCUCCUGGCUUUCUGUCCAGCUUUAUUUAAAAGUGAAGCUAAACUUUAAAGUUAUCAUUGCCCUUUGACCAGGCUAUAGCUGUUAGAGUUCAGAGUGAAAAUGCUUUCUGAUUAGAGUCUUAUAAUUGUCUUUUUACAGCAGUGAAGAAAAUGAUGAAGAGAAAAACUAAGUAUUAAUCCACAAACUACAUCUGGGCACUGGUUCAAGACCUGACAGUCUAAGCUCUACUCUUGCCUCUGACCUGUUGACUGUGCUUACUGUUAGAAGAACCCAAGGAAUUUUCAUAACCCAGAAGAAUUCAAAAUACUCUAAAAGUGAAGAAUUAGAGAUGGAUAAUAAUGUUUAGAUUUUACAUGAAGUUUAAAAAAAAAUGACAUUAUCAGCAUGUUUCAUUAUAUUAAACCUUUUGGAUAAGGGAUGAUGGAGUUCUGGGAGACUAUAGAGAGCAGGUGUGAAAUGUGAGCAAUAAUUACUUCCUGCACUGCAAAGUUAUUGAGAAGAUUCAAGGCGUACAGUUCUGGGUGACAAGAAGCAAAACUGAAUGAGUAGAAGAAAUGUGAUCAGAAAAACAAUGAGAGCAGGCCUUGAUCUGUUUGCAGGGAAAAGGAAGAGAGAUUAGAGAGGAGUAUGACUUGAUGAGUCAGGUGAAGUUAGGACCUAUUAGGAUGGUGUACUGAAAGGCUUAUUUAGGAGCUGUAAGAAGCUGGACUUAAUCUUACAGGAUUCCAAAUACCCUUGUCAAGCUUCUGAGUAUUCCUAAUUUAUACAGAUAUCAAAGGAAACAGAGCAUAUUAACAACAUAAGCUAAAUGAUAAACACAGAUUUGUAAGAUUUUCAGGGAACAAGCAGCUCAUGCUGUAAAGUUCUUAGAUCUUAUAUUGAAGACAGAUAUUUAAAAGUAUUGAUUAAUGAGAAAAUAAUAAUUGCUCUAGAUGAAAACAUGAAAUAUUUAACACCAUCUGGGCAGAUCAUACUCAAUGCAUUUCUUGUAAAAAAAAAUCAAAUUUUGAAAGUAAAUAGAAGCAUUCUCUCAGGCAAAGCUGUAGAAGUAACUGAAUAAAUCCAGCAUAAGAAAUAAGCAAUUGAUUUUUCAAACUAUAUUUUGUAACAUUUUAGACCCAUAUUCCAUUAGGAGAAUGAUAAACAUUCUUUGAAGGUACUACUACACCUUCAUUACAGUUGUAAUGUAUUACAUUUUAUAAAACAUAGUAUCUUUAUAGUAUCUUUAGUCCACAAAGAGUUUCCUAGAAAUAUAGAAAUAGAAAAUGACUCUACUACUUUUCUUUGUAUAGUUCUAAUAUUGCCUAGAACUGGAUAGAAAAUAAUACUUUAUUUCUUGGGUAAUUUUGGCAAUUAAAAUUUUUCCAGUACUCAAAAAGAAAGAAAGAUUUUUGCAGUGUGAAAUUCCAGAAUACUUAUUUGUGGAAAUAUCAAAGUUAACUUUUAGAAAACAUUGGCAUACUUAUUUUUGGGAUAGUAAAAAUAAGUUAUGUAAAACGUUUUAUUUGGGUAUUAAACAGAGUUUUCCUGUUGCUCACUUUUUGCCCCUAUCCUUUUUUUUUUUUUUCUUCAAGACAAAUGUAGCAAGAUGUAAAACUGGGUGUUCUACUGCCAUUUAGUUGCAUAUAAAUACAACUUAUGUUUUUAUAGCAAAUCUUUUGCUUUUCUAGGAAACUGAAAAUACCAAAAGAAGCCUUGUCCAGUCAUUAUGACAUGAGAUUCUGGUAGACUUAUUGAUGACAUCUACUGAGAAAUGUGUAUUUAUUCU